Molecule: ribosomal RNA, 497 nt
Filed under: uncultured bacterium
Lineage: Bacteria
Description: partial 16S ribosomal RNA
Rfam family: Bacterial small subunit ribosomal RNA
Source: RNAcentral
GAUGAACGCUGGCGGCGUGCCUAAUACAUGCAAGUCGAGCGAACAGACGAGGAGCUUGCUCCUCUGACGUUAGCGGCGGACGGGUGAGUAACACGUGGAUAACCUACCUAUAAGACUGGGAUAACUUCGGGAAACCGGAGCUAAUACCGGAUAAUAUAUUGAACCGCAUGGUUCAAUAGUGAAAGACGGUUUUGCUGUCACUUAUAGAUGGAUCCGCGCCGCAUUAGCUAGUUGGUAAGGUAACGGCUUACCAAGGCAACGAUGCGUAGCCGACCUGAGAGGGUGAUCGGCCACACUGGAACUGAGACACGGUCCAGACUCCUACGGGAGGCAGCAGUAGGGAAUCUUCCGCAAUGGGCGAAAGCCUGGCGGAGCAACGCCGCGUGAGUGAUGAAGGUCUUCGGAUCGUAAAACUCUGUUAUUAGGGAAGAGCAAAUGUGUAAGUAACUAUGCACGUCUUGACGGUACCUAAUCAGAAAGCCACGGCUAACUACGUG